CAGCAGUGAUGAGCUGUGAUUGAGUCUGACCUGGUAUUGUCGUCUCCCCGGAGGCGCUCUGACCAGGGCCUGACGACGGUAAUCUUCUCUCUGAGUGG
Molecule: small nucleolar RNA, 98 nt
Organism: Chanos chanos (milkfish)
Lineage: Eukaryota; Metazoa; Chordata; Actinopteri; Gonorynchiformes; Chanidae
Product: Z30 small nucleolar RNA
Exons: 1
Source: RefSeq, a predicted model, not a curated record